RNAcentral lists this ribosomal RNA (253 nucleotides) under uncultured bacterium. RNAcentral's name for it is "partial 16S ribosomal RNA". It matches the Rfam family "Bacterial small subunit ribosomal RNA", at positions 524 to 776 of the family's 1533-position model. The record is from RNAcentral.
GACAGAGGCCUCAAGCGUUAGGCGGAAUCACUGGGCUUAAAGCGUGUGUAGGCGGAUCGUUAAGUACCUUGUGAAAUCCCACGGCUCAACCGUGGAACUGCUUGGUAUACUGCGAUUCUUGAGCCACUUAGGGGCUACCGGAACAAAUGGUGGAGCGGUGAAAUGCGUAGAUAUCAUUUGGAACGCCAAUGGUGAAAACAGGUAGCUGGGAGUGUGCUGACGCUGAGACACGAAAGCCAGGGGAGCGAACGGG